CGGAUUCUCAUCUUUCUUUUCUUAUUAGUCUCUAUGGUAACUCUCAACGGGGACCUGAUGUGAACACUAAACAGCCUCCGAGACGGCGACAAAAAUCCACCUGUGGACCAAAUGUGAAGACAGUGACCCCCGUGGAGCUAACGACUAAGGACUCUACAAGGGGAAGGUCAGCUUUCGCAUAUUAGUUUUCAAAGUUCACAAUCCAGCAGCACUAAAGGCUGAUAUGACCCAACAGACACAAAAGAGGUUUCCAUUACACCCCAAAGAAAAAAGGGAUGGUUUUCUUGUGGAGCUUCUCUCUGGUUAGGUAGAUUUCAGGUACGUCUAAUAUCCGUGUAUCAGUCGACUGACGGUGCACUCACUGUGCCAUCAGCUGAUUCCUAACCUCAGGGCUUUCAUUCUGAUUAUGCAUGUUCAAAAUUGCAUGUCAUACUGUAUAAUGUGAAGAACUGAAAUACGCACAAGUCAGCCAUGGCUUUAUGAUCAUUUGAACUCUGAUGCAAUUUAAUACAGCAGCUCCGCCUGAAGCUUCAUUUUAACGAAGUGUCUAUGCCUUCAGUUUUACUGACUCAUUGGAAAGGUUGUACCCAAGUACUGAUAUCUCAAGGUUUGGUGACUUAACUCCAGGACUGAAUGGGUAUUUACCACCACAGUAUCAGUUUCUGUCUCAAAUUAUUCAGUGUUUCUUGGUGUGUUGUUCAAAGAACUAAUUUAGCUCAAUGUUACAGUCCUCACUUCUUUCCUUUGAUUCCAGUUUUAAUUUGCCGGGCACGCUCACUGCCUUUUCCCACCUGACAGAGAUGACAAUGAAAGCACCUUGGUCAAAAUAAGAAUCAAAGCUCGCUCUGGCUCACAGCCUGAUGUCUCACUGUUUAUAGCUCCUCUGAGGACUGAGCGACCAGAAAUCAGAGCAAGACUCGACUCGCCGAG
Molecule: non-coding RNA, 930 nt
Organism: Xyrichtys novacula (pearly razorfish)
Lineage: Eukaryota; Metazoa; Chordata; Actinopteri; Labriformes; Labridae
Source: the annotation of a GenBank genome assembly